ACUACGGGUGGCAGCAGUGGGGGAUAUUGCACAAUGGGGGGACCCCUGAUGCAGCGACGCCGCGUGGGUGAAGAAGCGCCUCGGCGCGUAAAGCCCUGUCAGCAGGGAAGAAAAUGACGGUACCUGAAGAAGAAGCCCCGGCUAACUACGUGCCAGCAGCCGCGGUAAUACGUAGGGGGCAAGCGUUAUCCGGAUUUACGGGGUGUAAAGGGGGCGCAGACGGCGAUGCAAGCCAGGAGUGAAAGCCCGGGGCCCAACCCCGGGACUGCUCUUGGAACUGCGUGGCUGGAGUGCAGGAGGGGCAGGCGGAAGUCCUGGUGUAGCGGUGAAAUGCGUAGAUAGCAGGAGGAACACCGGUGGCGAAGGCGGCCUGCUGGACUGCAACUGACGUUGAGGCCCGAAAGCGUGGGGAGCAAACAGGAUUAGAUACCCCUGUAGUC
RNAcentral lists this ribosomal RNA (440 nucleotides) under uncultured bacterium. RNAcentral's name for it is "partial 16S ribosomal RNA". It matches the Rfam family "Bacterial small subunit ribosomal RNA", at positions 338 to 795 of the family's 1533-position model. The record is from RNAcentral.